Molecule: ribosomal RNA, 358 nt
Filed under: uncultured bacterium
Lineage: Bacteria
Description: partial 16S ribosomal RNA
Rfam family: Bacterial small subunit ribosomal RNA
Source: RNAcentral
CCUACGGGAGGCAGCAGUGAGGAAUAUUGGUCAAUGGCCGGGAGGCUGAACCAGCCAAGUCGCGUGAGGGAAGACGGCCCUACGGGUUGUAAACCUCUUUUGUCAGGGAGCAAGGUGCAGGUCGGGACCUGCUGUGAGAGUACCUGCAGAAAAAGCAUCGGCUAACUCCGUGCCAGCAGCCGCGGUAAUACGGAGGAUGCGAGCGUUAUCCGGAUUUAUUGGGGUUAAGGGGGGCGAAGGCGGAGGCAAAAGUCAGCGGUAAAAUCGCGGGGCUCAACCCCGCCCCGACGUUGAAACUGUGGCCCUGGAGUGCGCGAAGGGUAGGCGGAAGGCGUGGUGUAGCGGUGAAAUGCAUAGA